Molecule: ribosomal RNA, 700 nt
Filed under: Virgibacillus dokdonensis
Lineage: Bacteria; Bacillati; Bacillota; Bacilli; Caryophanales; Bacillaceae
Description: bacterial SSU rRNA
Rfam family: Bacterial small subunit ribosomal RNA
Source: RNAcentral
UCUCCUUCGGGAGUGACGCUUGUGGAACGAGCGGCGGACGGGCUGAGUAACACGUGGGCAACCUACCUGUAAGACUGGGAUAACUCCGGGAAACCGGGGCUAAUACCGGAUGAAACAAAGCGUCGCAUGACGCAAUGUUAAAAGGCGGCAUAUGCUGUCACUUACAGAUGGGCCCGCGGCGCAUUAGCUAGUUGGUGAGGUAAAGGCUCACCAAGGCAACGAUGCGUAGCCGACCUGAGAGGGUGAUCGGCCACACUGGGACUGAGACACGGCCCAGACUCCUACGGGAGGCAGCAGUAGGGAAUCUUCCGCAAUGGACGAAAGUCUGACGGAGCAACGCCGCGUGAGUGAUGAAGGUUUUCGGAUCGUAAAACUCUGUUGUUAGGGAAGAACAAGUGCCAUUCGAAUAGGUUGGCACCUUGACGGUACCUAACCAGAAAGCCCCGGCUAACUACGUGCCAGCAGCCGCGGUAAUACGUAGGGGGCAAGCGUUGUCCGGAAUUAUUGGGCGUAAAGCGCGCGCAGGCGGUCCUUUAAGUCUGAUGUGAAAGCCCACGGCUUAACCGUGGAGGGCCAUUGGAAACUGGAGGACUUGAGUACAGAAGAGGAGAGUGGAAUUCCACGUGUAGCGGUGAAAUGCGUAGAGAUGUGGAGGAACACCAGUGGCGAUGGCGACUCUCUGGUCUGUAACUGACGCUGA